ACACUCCUGCGGGAGGCAGCAGUGGGGAAUAUUGCACAAUGGGCGGAAGCCUGAUGCAGCAACGCCGCGUGCGGGAUGACGGCCUUCGGGUUGUAAACCGCUUUCGCCUGUGACGAAGCGUGAGUGACGGUAAUGGGUAAAGAAGCACCGGCUAACUACGUGCCAGCAGCCGCGGUGAUACGUAGGGUGCGAGCGUUGUCCGGAUUUAUUGGGCGUAAAGGGCUCGUAGGUGGUUGAUCGCGUCGGAAGUGUAAUCUUGGGGCUUAACCCUGAGCGUGCUUUCGAUACGGGUUGACUUGAGGAAGGUAGGGGAGAAUGGAAUUCCUGGUGGAGCGGUGGAAUGCGCAGAUAUCAGGAGGAACACCAGUGGCGAAGGCGGUUCUCUGGGCCUUUCCUGACGCUGAGGAGCGAAAGCGUGGGGAGCGAACAGGCUUAGAUACCCUAGUAGUCCCAUG
Molecule: ribosomal RNA, 455 nt
Filed under: uncultured organism
Description: partial 16S ribosomal RNA
Rfam family: Bacterial small subunit ribosomal RNA
Source: RNAcentral